AGAGUUUGAUCAUGGCUCAGAUUGAACGCUGGCGGCAGGCUUAACACAUGCAAGUCGAGCGGGGGAAGGUAGCUUGCUACCGGACCUAGCGGCGGACGGGUGAGUAAUGCUUAGGAAUCUGCCUAUUAGUGGGGGACAACAUCUCGAAAGGGAUGCUAAUACCGCAUACGUCCUACGGGAGAAAGCAGGGGAUCUUCGGACCUUGCGCUAAUAGAUGAGCCUAAGUCGGAUUAGCUAGUUGGUGGGGUAAAGGCCUACCAAGGCGACGAUCUGUAGCGGGUCUGAGAGGAUGAUCCGCCACACUGGGACUGAGACACGGCCCAGACUCCUACGGGAGGCAGCAGUGGGGAAUAUUGGACAAUGGGGGGAACCCUGAUCCAGCCAUGCCGCGUGUGUGAAGAAGGCCUUAUGGUUGUAAAGCACUUUAAGCGAGGAGGAGGCUACUUUAGUUAAUACCUAGAGAUAGUGGACGUUACUCGCAGAAUAAGCACCGGCUAACUCUGUGCCAGCAGCCGCGGUAAUACAGAGGGUGCGAGCGUUAAUCGGAUUUACUGGGCGUAAAGCGUGCGUAGGCGGCUUAUUAAGUCGGAUGUGAAAUCCCCGAGCUUAACUUGGGAAUUGCAUUCGAUACUGGUGAGCUAGAGUAUGGGAGAGGAUGGUAGAAUUCCAGGUGUAGCGGUGAAAUGCGUAGAGAUCUGGAGGAAUACCGAUGGCGAAGGCAGCCAUCUGGCCUAAUACUGACGCUGAGGUACGAAAGCAUGGGGAGCAAACAGGAUUAGAUACCCUGGUAGUCCAUGCCGUAAACGAUGUCUACUAGCCGUUGGGGCCUUUGAGGCUUUAGU
This 842-nucleotide ribosomal RNA is filed under the name Acinetobacter baumannii 21072. Its description in RNAcentral is "bacterial SSU rRNA". It matches the Rfam family "Bacterial small subunit ribosomal RNA", at positions 8 to 844 of the family's 1533-position model. Lineage: Bacteria; Pseudomonadati; Pseudomonadota; Gammaproteobacteria; Moraxellales; Moraxellaceae. The record is from RNAcentral.